Molecule: ribosomal RNA, 442 nt
Filed under: uncultured bacterium
Lineage: Bacteria
Description: partial 16S ribosomal RNA
Rfam family: Bacterial small subunit ribosomal RNA
Source: RNAcentral
CCUACGGGUGACAGCAGUGGGGAAUAUUGCACAAUGGGCGAAAGCCUGAUGCAGCAACGCCGCGUGAUGGAAGAAGGCCUUCGGGUCGUAAACUUCUGUCCUUGGGGAAGAAGAACGAACGUUACCCAAGGAGAAAGCCCCGGCUAACUACGUGCCAGCAGCCGCGGUAAUACGUAGGUGGCAAGCGUUGUCCGGAUUUACUGGGUGUAAGGGGCGUGUAGCCGGGUUGAAAAGUCAGAUGUGAAAUCCUGCGGCUUAACCGCAGAACUGCCUUUGAAACUGUUGAUCUUGAGUACUGGAGAGGCAGAUGGAAGUCCUAGUGUAGCGGUGAAAUGCGUAGAGAUUAGGAGGAACACCAGUGGCGAAGGCGGCCUGCUGGACAGCAACUGACGGUGAGGCGCGAAAGCGUGGGGAGCAAACAGGAUUAGAUACCCGUGUAGUC